AGUGAACGCUGGCGGUAGGCCUAACACAUGCAAGUCGAACGGCAGCACAGUAAGAGCUUGCUCUUACGGGUGGCGAGUGGCGGACGGGUGAGGAAUACAUCGGAAUCUACUUUUUCGUGGGGGAUAACGUAGGGAAACUUACGCUAAUACCGCAUACGACCUACGGGUGAAAGCAGGGGAUCUUCGGACCUUGCGCGAUUGAAUGAGCCGAUGUCGGAUUAGCUAGUUGGCGGGGUAAAGGCCCACCAAGGCGACGAUCCGUAGCUGGUCUGAGAGGAUGAUCAGCCACAGUGGAACUGAGACACGGUCCAGACUCCUACGGGAGGCAGCAGUGGGGAAUAUUGGACAAUGGGCGCAAGCCUGAGCCAGCCAUACCGCGUGGGUGAAGAAGGCCUUCGGGUUGUAAAGCCCUUUUGUUGGGAAAGAAAAGCAGCAGGUUAAUACCCCGCUGUUCUGACGGUACCCAAAGAAUAAGCACCGGCUAACUUCGUG
This 492-nucleotide ribosomal RNA is filed under the name uncultured bacterium. RNAcentral describes it as "partial 16S ribosomal RNA". It matches the Rfam family "Bacterial small subunit ribosomal RNA", at positions 29 to 507 of the family's 1533-position model. The record is from RNAcentral.